RNAcentral lists this ribosomal RNA (518 nucleotides) under Pucciniomycotina sp. RS. RNAcentral describes it as "LSU rRNA". It matches the Rfam family "Eukaryotic large subunit ribosomal RNA", at positions 90 to 621 of the family's 3401-position model. The record is from RNAcentral. Lineage: Eukaryota; Fungi; Basidiomycota.
CGAGCGAAGCGGGAAAAGCUCAAAUUUGUAAUCUGGCGUCUUCGACGUCCGAGUUGUAAUCUCGAGAAGUGUUUUCCGUGAUAGACCGCAUACAAGUCUCUUGGAACAGAGCGUCAUAGUGGUGAGAACCCAGUACACGAUGCGGAUGCCUAUUACUUUGUGAUACACUUUCGAAGAGUCGAGUUGUUUGGGAAUGCAGCUCAAAUUGGGUGGUAAAUUCCAUCUAAAGCUAAAUAUUGGCGAGAGACCGAUAGCGAACAAGUACCGUGAGGGAAAGAUGAAAAGCACUUUGGAAAGAGAGUUAACAGUACGUGAAAUUGUUGGAAGGGAAACACAUGCAGUGAUACUUGCUAUUCGGGGCAACUCGAUUGGCAGGCCCGCAUCAGUUUUUCGGGGCGGAAAAGCAUAGAGAGAAGGUAGCAGUUUCGGCUGUGUUAUAGCUCUUUAUUGGAUUCGCCCUGGGGGACUGAGGAACGCAGCGUGCUUUUAGCAUAAGCUUCGGCUUAUCCACGCUUAGG